This 253-nucleotide ribosomal RNA is filed under the name uncultured bacterium. RNAcentral's name for it is "partial 16S ribosomal RNA". It matches the Rfam family "Bacterial small subunit ribosomal RNA", at positions 524 to 776 of the family's 1533-position model. The record is from RNAcentral.
UACAGAGGGUGCAAGCGUUGUUCGGAAUUAUUGGGCGUAAAGGGAGUGUAGGCGGUCCCUUAAGUCUUCUGUGAAAUCUACGGGCUUAGCCUGUAACGUGCAGAGGAAACUGGUGGACUUGAGUGUCGGAGAGGAUAGGGGAAUACCCGGUGUAGAGGUGAAAUUCGUAGAGAUCGGGUGGAACACCAGUGGCGAAGGCGCCUGUCUGGCUAACAACUGACGCUGAGACUCGAAAGCAUGGGGAGCAAACAGG